RNAcentral lists this ribosomal RNA (316 nucleotides) under uncultured bacterium. Its description in RNAcentral is "bacterial SSU rRNA". It matches the Rfam family "Bacterial small subunit ribosomal RNA", at positions 356 to 664 of the family's 1533-position model. The record is from RNAcentral.
GGGGAAUUUUGGACAAUGGGCGAAAGCCUGAUCCAGCCAUGCCGCGUGAGUGAAGAAGGCCUUCGGGUUGUAAAGCUCUUUUAGUCGGAAAGAAAGAGUUGCAAUGAAUAAUUGUGAUUUAUGACGGUACCGACAGAAAAAGCACCGGCUAACUACGUGCCAGCAGCCGCGGUAAUACGUAGGGUGCGAGCGUUAAUCGGAAUUACUGGGCGUAACGGGUGCGCAGGCGGUCUUGCAAGUCAGAUGUGAAAGCCCCGGGCUUAACCUGGGAAUUGCGUUUGAGACUACAAGGCUAGAGUGCAGCAGAGGGGAGUGG